GCCCCUGUAGCUCAAUGGACUAGAGCGCAUCUCUCCUAAGGAUGAAAUAUAGGUUCGACUCCUAUCAGGGGCA
RNAcentral lists this transfer RNA (73 nucleotides) under Candidatus Nealsonbacteria bacterium CG_4_10_14_0_8_um_filter_37_14. Its description in RNAcentral is "tRNA-Arg". It matches the Rfam family "tRNA". Rfam says of the family: Transfer RNA (tRNA) molecules are approximately 80 nucleotides in length. Their secondary structure includes four short double-helical elements and three loops (D, anti-codon, and T loops). RNAcentral also lists the same sequence under 3 other names. The record is from RNAcentral. Lineage: Bacteria; Candidatus Nealsoniibacteriota.